Molecule: long non-coding RNA, 551 nt
Organism: Equus caballus (horse)
Lineage: Eukaryota; Metazoa; Chordata; Mammalia; Perissodactyla; Equidae
Source: RefSeq, a predicted model, not a curated record
CACUACCCAAGUAGGCAAGACAGAUUUUUAUUUGCAUUCAUCGAGACAAUGCGUGUGCUUUAAAAUUUCCAUACCUCUACCACUGCUUGUGAACUGUGAAGUGUCUGGAAGCUCAAGCGGUCACGUUAUAUGCCCAGCUUUGCGCACAGCGUGUGGAAUGAACUCUCUAAAGCUUUUACAGACGAAGGAUCAUUUUUCAAAUGCCAUGUACAUUUGAAACAUGUGCAGCAAAUGUCCGCUCAAAAAGCAGAGAUCAGCAGGAAAUGGCAUUCUGCACUUAGAGACAGAUAAAGGGACUGAAGAAGAACAAACUCUCAUACAUGAGCUUCACUUCUAGGAAUCACGUUAGGUUCAGAAAGGUACUCUCCUAGGUUUGAAUGAUUCAAGCUUCUGAAAGAAAUUGGACUAUUCAUCUGUUACAGCCCAGAAGUAGAAAUAGAGCCAUCACACUAGAAACAGGAGCAUUAAUAUAUCAUCUUCAAGAAAGCAAGUAACGACUAACAAAGGAGGAAAGGGUCAAAACGCAUACUGAAAUGUUGUACCUCACUAUC